Molecule: transfer RNA, 73 nt
Filed under: Thermoplasmata archaeon
Lineage: Archaea; Methanobacteriati; Thermoplasmatota; Thermoplasmata
Description: tRNA-Val
Rfam family: tRNA
About the family: Transfer RNA (tRNA) molecules are approximately 80 nucleotides in length. Their secondary structure includes four short double-helical elements and three loops (D, anti-codon, and T loops).
Source: RNAcentral
GGGCCGGUGGUCUAGGGGUUAUGAUGUCGCCCUUACGAGGCGAAGUUCGUGAGUUCGAUUCUCACCCGGCCCA